GCCGAACGAUGCUUUUUUCAUUGGGAUCCGACUAGCUUUUCCAAUACCUCCCCGCCGAUCGCGGGACAGCGAUCUAACCGUAGUAACGUGUAGUGUUUCCGCCAUUGUCCGCAGGUCCGAGCGGGGCAUACAGUCCGGACGCGACGAUGGGAUACAUGAUGGACGGACAGGCGGCGAGCAUGAUGCACCGGCCGCCCGGUGAUCCCACCUUCCACAAUCAGUACCAUUACCCGCCAGAGUACUAUGGACAUCACUUAUAAAGCAGUAGUCGCAAGUGAAGAUAGACGAUGGAAUGACGGUUAUUGCGGAACGGGAAACACAGCACGCACCGGGUGAGGUUUAAAAGAAAGGUGCUUGCAACGGGGGCAGCGAGAAGCGAUUUCGUCGCCUUCGGAGAACUGCAGAGGUGCUUCUUGGCGGCGUCGAGGCUCACGUGGUGUGUCGGCUGCACGUACGAGCUGGAAGCACACGAUGCGGACGGUCAAAAAAAUGGAAAAGCAGCAGCAGCCGCCGGUCCGGUUCUGGCUCGGAAACCAAGUACCCUGAUAGGGGGAGAGGGGGGAGGGGGGAAGGAAAUCGGGUGGAUUCGAGGGAAAGAAGGAAAGAAUCGAAGGACGACGGGUUCGUUCGACAGAGGAGAAGAAUGGCUUUUAUACACCGGAUCCCUACGAACGAGGGAAUGACCGACACACGACGCGUGUGGAACCGGAAGCAAGACGACUAGACGAGGAAGAAGUAAAAAAAAAAAAAAAACAACAAACGAAAGAGCGAAGGACGCGCGCGGCUCAGUGCGAACUAGAUUUUACGUGGAGCCGCGAAGAGAGCGAAAGGAAAUUCACAUGUGAUUGUUCUGUGUACAAAUGUCGCGGUGUAAUAUUGUAGUGAUCGAAAAAUUUAAAUGUUAAAUUUUAAUACGGUCGCGAUCGAGCUAUUAUUAAUUAACGAUUACGUUAGGAAGAGAGAAAACAGGGGGUUGGGGGUUGGGGGGGGGCGGGGGGGUUCGAACUACGAACGAGGGAAUUACCUCGAGCAAAAGAGUGAUAUAGGCAAUUUCUAGCGGGCAUGUGUACAUUAAAUGGAAAUAAACAAAAACUGGGUGGUAGAAAGCGGGGGAAAAAUAAAAGAGGUAAAAAAAGAGUAACGAGCAACUGAAGGUGUUAAGCUCGCGAACUCGGUUUAUUAAUAGGAUAGAUGUCCACGCGCUCUGAAGGAGAAGCGAGGAUUUGUGGGGAAAUUCUCGCAGAGAAGAGAAUGACAAGAAAGAAAUUGAAGAAGACACGAUACGAGAAUGCAGCAUGUAUGUAUAUAUAUAUACACACACGCGCGCGCGCAAUUACGCAUCCAUGUGUAUAGAUAUAUACGGGUAUAUAAAUAAAUAUAUAUAGAGAAAAGAAUUUUAGAUGCGCGGUGGCUGGCGUUCUUUUCUUUUUUCUCUUUUUAUUUCGAGAGAACCGACUAGAAGAUACGUAUGUACAAGGAAUGCGGGGAAGAUUUGGAAAGCGAACGUUUGGUUUCGUACGUUUAAGGAACGGGGCACGCGCGCACGCGCGCGUACAAACAGCGUGAACGCGAACGCGAGGGCAGAAGAGAGGAUAGGAAACGGGACAAACGUAAGACUGGAGAUACAAUAACGAACGAAACGGAGAGAACGGACGACAAGGUGGGUAAGAAGGGACGAUAAAACUUUUUAGAACACAGAAGAGAAGUGAAAUCGACGCGUGUGCCGGACUCGAGCGUCGACCACAUUCACUUGCAUAUAUAUAUAGGUGACAUUGAAAUUUGUACAGUUAUUAAUUAUAAAUGAAUUUACUAAUUAAAGGAAGAAGUAAUUAUAUAUUAUAAAUAUAUACAUAACACACACUGAAGUAACAUGUGGCUCCCCCCCCCCUCUCCGAUUGUAAUAUAUAUAUACAAGCGAGCGUUUUAAUUGGACACCUUGGGACGAUAAUUAUUCUCGUGUGUGUUGUGCCGUGUUCGGUGUGUGCGUACUGGACUGGAGGAGACGCUGAGCCGAAAGAGCGGAGGAAUAGAGAGGAGGAGGUAAAUUGGUAAAGAGAAACCCGGAAGAUGAGAGCGAAUAAAAUACGCAGAAACGGAUACGAAUAUGGUGCGUGUGUGGAACGUGUGAACGUGAGAAACAAGAUAGUAUACGCGAGCGAUAGUUGGUGAGGGAUUUUAUAUAUAUAUAUAUAUAUAUAUAUAUUUAUGAAAAAGGUAUAUAUAUAUAUACAAAAAAUUAUAUAUGUAUAUAAAUAUAUAAAUACGUGAAAAUAUAGAUACCUGCGAGUGGAUCAGACGGUUCUUCAUCCACAGCUCGACGAUACAGUCAGAUUCCUCCUUCCCCACCUGAUCCGGCUCCGUACGCAUAGAAAUCGACACGCAUACACUGAAAAACAUACACGUACACGAUCAUACAGAGAAAAACAUACACGUACACACACUGACGCGCGUGAAAAUGAGCGUUAUUACCUAAGCCCCGUCUGCCCGCGCCAAAAAUAAAUGAAAGAAAGAACGAAACGGAUAAUUGAAUGUAAUUAAAAGAAAGAAACGGAUAAUCGCAAGGAUCUGAAGGAACAUGCAAUGAUCAACAAUUUAACGAAUAUAAUAUAUUGUAUAUAAUAAAGAUAGUUAAUUGAGCCGCGGUGAGCGUGAGAAGGGAGGAAGAGAGGAGGGCAAGGGGAAAUCCGAGAUUGGCAAAGUUCCACGAGAGAUGCUGUCCGCGAACCGCUUCUUUUCCCGUUCCUUUCUUUUUCGUCUCUGUCGUUUUCGUUUUCCUCUGGCCGCGCCGCGGGGAGGUGAAAGGGCUCGGUAAUAAACGGAGAAUCUGUGGACCAGUGAGAGGAUCCUCGGCGAACGGUGGAGGGAGAAAAAGAAAGAAAAGAAAAGAGAAGUAACGAGCGACAACGAGGAAUAUCGUACAUUCGGACAAACAUUGGUUUUUUCGUUUCUUUCGUUCUCGUCUUCUUUCGAUUUGUGAUCCUUCCUUCCUUUAGCCGCCCAAUUAUCGAGUCGUUUCCACGUUAAAAAAAAAACAAAGAAUAAGUAAAAGAACAAUAUCGAAAGCAAUACAGUGUUGACCAGUAUUCUCCAAACAGGCGUGUUAUUUCGCGUAGAGUAAAGGUUGAAGAAAUAUAUAUCGUUCGAUGUUAAACGAAUUGGCCCCCGUGAGACGUAAAGUGGAGAGAGGUAACCAUUGGCUUAGUAUUUCGCGAAUCAACGGGAAGAUCUUCAUGGAGAUUUUCCGCGACAUUUUCGCGAUGAAAUUCUCAGGAUCGAAACGAACCAACGAAUUUUCGGCUGAUUAUUACCAGCGAUUCAAGCUCGACUGUACGAUUCGUCGAAAUUUUUCUCAACUUUGGCGAGGGACAAACGAGAUGAAAUCUCGACGACCCUCGAUACGAAAAAACUGUUGAUCGGUGUUGAGGGCCGAUCGAAGUUCUGUCGGAUCGUUGAAACAACGCACAGCUCGUGUAAUGUAAUCGCCGUGUAUGCUCGCUGGAACGGGUCUUGGAACUGUCUCGAAACCGGUCGUCGAAUGAAAUCACGACGAUAAGACGGGCCACUUCGAUCCCGACACUUUUCUCGUCCUUUCUCGUACCGUUUUCCUCCCAGAAGUCACUGUCUUUGCUAUCGCGCGCGUACGCGCACGGAGCCCCGUUUCGAGAAAACAGUCCGCGUCGUUUCGUUAUGAAAUGUUUCAAUUCAGUUUUACGAACGUUAAAUAAGAACCGGCGUCGUCGACACGACGGAGAAGAAAUCGACGAAAGGAAGAAAGAAAGGAACGCAAGUAAAGCGAAUUUCCCUCCGGUGGAAGAAGAUUUGAAAGUUUAAUCGAAUCGAACGCGUGAAAAGAAAAGAAGAAAAAUAGGAAUUCGAACGUUAAAUUCGAGGUCGCUCGGUUCGGUUACCACUCGGCGAUGGGGUAGGGGGGAGGGGGGAUGAAACGAAAGGAAGGAAAGAAGGAAGGAACUGCGCGAGGGUGGCCUGCGAGAAAGAGGACGCGAACGAAGGAACGAAAGAAAGCGAACGCAGAGCAUACGAGACAAAUUUUAUCGAUAUUUUCAAUACGCCCACGUACACGAAAAAAUCUUGUAUAAAAAUUUUAAUGUAAACACACACUGCUCUUGCCGCGUGCCGCAAGACGUUCAACGAGAAGCAUCGAUCUCGUCGUUUCACGUUCCAUCCGCGGUCCGCAAGAUGCACGCGAUCCUCCGGAUAUUGACUGCGUUCGCGAGGAAAAAAGAUCAAGCUUCCUGCGAGGCACGGACAACGCGAAACGACGCUCGAUUCUUUUCUUCGUCGCGGUGCAACGGCGUACUAGUAUACUGAAAGAAAAAGAAAAAGAAGCGAAAAAAAAAAAUGAAAAAACGAUAAAAAAACAAAACGAUAACCGACGUAUACCGAAAGACUCAGGUGCGAGAGAAGUCAGUGAUAUCCUGGUUAAUUGGUGAAAAUUCCCGACGCUCGUCGAGAUGCAUCGCGACCGAUUUCCCCGUCGGUGGAAACGCUCCUCUUCGCGAACGAGACGAAUCGAUCGUGCGAUCCUCCGCGGAAUUUUUCGAAAUUUUCAGUUCGUGUCUCUAUCGUAUCGCGGAAUAUGAAAAGAGAAAUCAAAAAAUAAAGGAAAAAGAAAACGCGUUAGCGCCGUCUCGCUUUCCCCGUUGAAAUUUCUCGACGACCUGGUUACCUGGAUACACGGUAUACGAGAAAUCGCGGAAAAAAAAUAGUAGAAUCUCGCGCGUUCGAAAUCGUCCCGCGGCUACGACGUGUUUUUUUUUUUCUCUUUUUUUUCUUUUAACGUUUUAACGCGAAUUCUCCCGAUGUUUUUUUUUUAGUGAAACGCCUUUUUACCAUAGCGGGGACCCGGACUUUUUACCAUUUUAUCGAGCCAACGGCGUCGUUCCUACAGACGUGGUGUUUUAUUUACUUAUAUAUAUAUCUCUCUCUCUGUUUUUCUUCUUUUUUUUUUGUUGUUGUUUUUAUCGGAAUUGAAAUGUCUCGUCAAUGUCAGAGGGGACGAUCUCGCGACGCUUGUCGAACAAUCGUACAACUCAUAAUCGAUUAUCAAGUAAGAGACAAUCAAGUAGGAGGCGAACGCGGGUGGCGGCCUGAAACGAUGAAAAGGGGCGCGAUCGUGGACGAUCGUGUCCGCGGAGCGGCGCGUUUUUAUAAAUUCUAUUUGUUGAACGAUAUAUUGUUUAAUUUUGUUGAGGCACGCUCCGCUGGCCGUUCGCGAUCCCGCGCCGAUUCGUACGCCGCGCAUACGAGAAAUUUCUACGCACGGGAAUCCUUUUUCUUUUUUUUUUUUUUUUUUUUACCGAAAUCGGUGAACAAAAUUAAACAAACAUCCCCGGAAAGGAGCAUCGCGAAAUCACACGUCACGCCCAAGGAAGCUAGGUGUCAGGAGCCGGUUGAACCGUCGUUUCUGUCUGUGAUCAAUUUUUCAAACGACUUUCGGUAUACGAGAUAGGUCUCGAUUCGCCAUCGACCAGGGGCCUACGACAACGACGAUUAAAUUAUUUUUUCAUGACGAAGAGAAAACGACGGUCCGACGGAGGAGACACGACGUGAAACGCCCGGCCGGUGCAUUUCCACUGCGAAAGGGGGUGCGAAAGCGCAACACGUCCACGGGCUCGCGUGGUUCUCGCGUACGAGCACACGACUCCGUCUUUUUACCCCGCCGGCUGACACACCAUCCUCCACCCUCGGAGGUAGAGGAGAACGCGAUCAAUAUUUUCGUGGAAAUGCCCGGCGACGCGUUACGCGGCGAAGAAAAGAGGAAAGUGAAAGAGCAGAGAAAGGGGAGAACAGGGAUCGAAAAAGAAGAGGGGGAAAAAAGUAGGAAAUAAAAAGAGAGAAGCAUGGAAAAUAAAAGUAGGAUCGCACGAUCGAUUAACGAGAAGAGGCUUCUGUACAAGGGGCGUGAGAGAUGUAUACGGCGUGAUUAAAAAAAGAAAGGAAGAGAGAACGAGUGAAAGCAAAAGAAAAAGUAAAUAAAUAAAUAAAUAAAUAAAUAAAGGGAAUGAAAAUAGUGAAACACAGCGUUCAGACGGUUGCGGAAGGGAUGUGAAGACGGCGGCAAACGGACGACGUUUAUUGGCUGUUCGUUUUCUAAAUGAGUUCACCCAAUUGAAUGAAUCAUCGCCUUAAAAAUGUAUACGAAGUAACAGUAAGGUAUCUAAGUAAUAAUCAUGUUAGAGGGUAAAGAAACUUAAAACAAAGAUUUUAUGAGCGACGACGAGAGCGGCUAUAGGGCAACGAGAGCACGAGAGAGAGUGAGAGAGAGUGCGAGAGAGAAAACGUGAAACAACCGUGUGUUCGAAAAGGGAUAAAUGUUAUCACGCAUGAAAGCAAUACGCGAAUGAAAGGGGAACGAGCGAAUGAAUGAUACGAAACGACCAUGGGACAACGCGCGUGUAAAAGAGGAAAAAAAGGAGGGAAAGUAAUGUAUAAUUAUCGUGUAAUUAUGGAAAGAACGACGAUGUUAGUAAAUCGCGUCGCCGACGUCGGCGACGAUGAUCGUAACGACGACAGUCGGUAACGAGAGAUCGCGUAACGAGAUGGUGAUUUGUUCGGCAGCCCGAAGAUCCCGAAUCAAUCGUCGUUACGAUCAUCGGCUGUGGUGAAAACGACUACGAUAAACGCUGAUGACGAUGCGCUGAUAACCACGAUGAUGAUACUGAUGAUGAUAUAUGAUGAUGAUGAUGAUUAUGAUUAUGCUGAUGGUGACGAUGAUGUGUAUAGUAAGCUAAAAAUUUAUUAUAUCGGUAUGGAAUCAGAUUUUUUUCAACUGUUUGCGUAUUGACGACCCACUGACACCCUUAAGUAAAAAAAGAUUUAAAAAAAGAAGUAGAAAAGGAAAAAAAAAAGAAACAAGAGGAACGGCAAAUGAAAUUGAAAAAAAAAAGGGAAAAAAGAAACGAAGAAAAUGGAAAGAAAGAAAAAAAAAAAAAUGCCGAAUCGAAAAAAAUCGAGCUGUGUUCUGUGUUCGUGAGAUCGGGACGGAAAGAGAGGAGACCGUUUCUUCGAUCGUUGUUUCCCAGCAGCACGAUUGUGAUAGCGCGACGACGCGGAAAUUACGAUACGCGUGUGGUUGUACGGGGGCGGUGGUUCCUUCUUCGACCCCUCGAGAAAUCCGGGCGAGGAUGUUCGUCCGAUCCCCCGCGUCGAUCUACGUAUAUUCUCGCUUCUCUCUCUCUCUCUCUUUCUUGCGCGUGAACCCGAGAGAGAGAGAGAGAGAGAGAGAGAGAGAGAGAGACGCAGGGGAAAGAGCGCGCGGAAUGCCGAACAAAAAACACAGUGGAAAAACCGGAAAACUGAUACCUGUCGAUGUAAAAUAUUAGUAUUAAACGUAUACGUGGGACUACGUGCACACACGCGUCCAUCCGUUAACAAGAGAAUGAGCCUGGACACGCGCGUACACGCGUCCCCAGUUUGCGUAGAGGCGCGUGACGGCGUCUCGGGCACGCAGAGGGAACAGAGUCGAUCAAUCGCGUGAAAUUGGCCCGGAUCGAUUGUGUUCAAAACACUCACGGAUCGCAAACGUGAUGACGAUGAAAGGAAGGACGAUGUCAAAGGUGGUCUAUGUUAGAGAGUGUCCAUUGUAUAGUGUUUUUUUGAAACGUGAGCAUUAAAUGCUACAUCUUGUGUA
Long non-coding RNA from Frieseomelitta varia, 7651 nucleotides. RefSeq lists it as uncharacterized. The record is from RefSeq and is a predicted model, not a curated record. The transcript is spliced from 2 exons. NCBI's taxonomy places the organism in Eukaryota, Metazoa, Arthropoda, Insecta, Hymenoptera, Apidae.